GGGGAAUAUUGCACAAUGGGGGAAACCCUGAUGCAGCCAUGCCGCGUGUGUGAAGAAGGCCUUCGGGUUGUAAAGCACUUUCAGCGAGGAGGAAAGGUUGGUGCCUAAUACGUAUCAACUGUGACGUUACUCGCAGAAGAAGCACCGGCUAACUCCGUGCCAGCAGCCGCGGUAAUACGGAGGGUGCAAGCGUUAAUCGGAAUUACUGGGCGUAAAGCGCACGCAGGCGGUUGGAUAAGUUAGAUGUGAAAGCCCCGGGCUCAACCUGGGAAUUGCAUUUAAAACUGUCCAGCUAGAGUCUUGUAGAGGGGGGUAGAAUUCCAGGUGUAGCGGUGAAAUGCGUAGAGAUCUGGAGGAAUACCGGUGGCGAAGGCGGCCCCCUGGACAAAGACUGGCGCUCAGGUGCGAAAGCGUGGGGAGCAAAC
This 425-nucleotide ribosomal RNA is filed under the name uncultured bacterium. RNAcentral describes it as "bacterial SSU rRNA". It matches the Rfam family "Bacterial small subunit ribosomal RNA", at positions 356 to 773 of the family's 1533-position model. The record is from RNAcentral.